UGAGUAACACGUGAGCAAUCUGCCCCUGACUCUGGGAUAAGCGCUGGAAACGGCGUCUAAUACCGGAUACGAGCUGCGACCGCAUGGUCAGUAGCUGGAAAGAAUUUCGGUCAGGGAUGAGCUCGCGGCCUAUCAGCUUGUUGGUGAGGUAAUGGCUCACCAAGGCGUCGACGGGUAGCCGGCCUGAGAGGGUGACCGGCCACACUGGGACUGAGACACGGCCCAGACUCCUACGGGAGGCAGCAGUGGGGAAUAUUGCACAAUGGGCGAAAGCCUGAUGCAGCAACGCCGCGUGAGGGAUGACGGCCUUCGGGUUGUAAACCUCUUUUAGCAGGGAAGAAGCGAAAGUGACGGUACCUGCAGAAAAAGCGCCGGCUAACUACGUGCCAGCAGCCGCGGUAAUACGUAGGGCGCAAGCGUUAUCCGGAAUUAUUGGGCGUAAAGAGCUCGUAGGCGGUCUGUCGCGUCUGCUGUGAAAACCCGAGGCUCAACCUCGGGCCUGCAGUGGGUACGGGCAGACUAGAGUGCGGUAGGGGAGAUUGGAAUUCCUGGUGUAGCGGUGGAAUGCGCAGAUAUCAGGAGGAACACCGAUGGCGAAGGCAGAUCUCUGGGCCGUAACUGACGCUGAGGAGCGAAAGGGUGGGGAGCAAACAGGCUUAGAUACCCUGGUAGUCCACCCCGUAAACGUUGGGAACUAGUUGUGGGGUCCAUUCCACGGAUUCCGUGACGCAGCUAACGCAUUAAGUUCCCCGCCUGGGGAGUACGGCCGCAAGGCUAAAACUCAAAGGAAUUGACGGGGACCCGCACAAGCGGCGGAGCAUGCGGAUUAAUUCGAUGCAACGCGAAGAACCUUACCAAGGCUUGACAUAUAGAGGAAACGUCUGGAAACAGUCGCCCCGCAAGGUCUCUAUACAGGUGGUGCAUGGUUGUCGUCAGCUCGUGUCGUGAGAUGUUGGGUUAAGUCCCGCAACGAGCGCAACCCUCGUUCUAUGUUGCCAGCACGUAAUGGUGGGAACUCAUGGGAUACUGCCGGGGUCAACUCGGAGGAAGGUGGGGAUGACGUCAAAUCAUCAUGCCCCUUAUGUCUUGGGCUUCACGCAUGCUACAAUGGCCGGUACAAAGGGCUGCAAUACCGUGAGGUGGAGCGAAUCCCAAAAAGCCGGUCCCAGUUCGGAUUGAGGUCUGCAACUCGACCUCAUGAAGUCGGAGUCGCUAGUAAUCGCAGAUCAGCAA
This 1233-nucleotide ribosomal RNA is filed under the name Microbacterium arborescens. RNAcentral describes it as "bacterial SSU rRNA". It matches the Rfam family "Bacterial small subunit ribosomal RNA", at positions 107 to 1355 of the family's 1533-position model. Lineage: Bacteria; Bacillati; Actinomycetota; Actinomycetes; Micrococcales; Microbacteriaceae. The record is from RNAcentral.